UCUGGGAUUAGAUACCCUGUUAUUUGAAAUGUAACUUUAAAGACUAAGGUAGUAUUAGAUAUGUUCUUUAAACUUAAAAAAUUUGGCGGUAUUUUAGUCUAUUCAGAGGAACCUGUUUUAUAAUCGAUAAUCCACGAUGGACCUUACUUAAGUUUGUAAAUCAGUUUAUAUACCGUUGUUAUUAGAAUAUUUUAUAAGAAUGUUAAUUUUCAUAAUUUUUGUAUAAAAAGUAUAUCAAAUCAAGGUGUAGCUUAUAUUUAAGUAUAAAUGGGUUACAAUAAAUUUAUUUAAGCGGAUAUAAAUUUGAAAUAUUUAUUGAAGAUGGAUUUGAUAGUAAAAUUAUAAAGAUAAAUAAUUUGAUUUUAGCUCUAAAAUAUGUACAAAUCGCCCGUCACUCUCUGA
Molecule: ribosomal RNA, 402 nt
Filed under: Stevenia sp. n. 11 AT-2015
Lineage: Eukaryota; Metazoa; Arthropoda; Insecta; Diptera; Rhinophoridae
Description: partial small subunit ribosomal RNA
Source: RNAcentral